AGCCGGCAACCGGGUAAAUUCAGUUGUCCAUGUGACUUUUGUAAAUUCACACAGCUCUGUUUGCUGAUAAAACUCUGAUAACUUUCACAGAAGAAAUAAGACAACUUGUGUGAUUACCAAUGAAGUAAUAAUGUAGAGUUCAACCACAAGAUAAUUUAUUUGGGAUGAAAUGCAUAUCGUACAGAAAAGUAGGCAAAUCUACGAUAAAUUCCAAAAUGAAGUUUCCGCAAUUUGCAAAACACAAAACAGAACUUUCGAAGAACCUUCCCCUUUAACACAUCCCACGACAUCUGCACUUCAUUAACUAUUAAAGGUCUUGUGUAGAGAUCAGUGACAACAAGAGCCAUAUCUUCAUCCAAGCCGAAGCCCAAAGGUGUCCCAAUGUCGCGGUACCGUGUGUCUUGCAGCAGCCUGUUUUUUAAAUAAGGUCUUGUGUAGAGAUCAGUAACUACAAGAGCCAUAUCUUCAUCUAAACCGAAGCCCCAAGGUGUUCCAAUGUCGCGGUACCGUGAGUCUUGGAGCAGCCUGUUUCAUAAGGUCUUGUGUAAAGGGCAGUAACUACAAGAGCCAUAUCUUCAUCAAAUCCGAAGCCCCAAGGUGUUCCAAUGUCGCGGUUCCGUGUGUCUUGCAGCAGCCUGUUCUCACGAGGUAAAGUCAGCUUAUGCUUUACUUGUUUAAAUCAGGAAUUUGAAUUUCGAACCAACCUAAUCAUACGUGCUUCUCGUCCCAGCUCGCUAAAAUGGCUUUCGGGAAACCAAUUACCUAGGAAUCCCAAACCCCCAUGUUCAUCAUAAGAUAAAUGUCCUGGGUUAUUCGAAUUGAGUCCCUCCACUAAAAGCUCCG
Long non-coding RNA from Daphnia magna, 843 nucleotides. RefSeq lists it as uncharacterized. The transcript is spliced from 4 exons. Lineage: Eukaryota; Metazoa; Arthropoda; Branchiopoda; Diplostraca; Daphniidae. The record is from RefSeq and is a predicted model, not a curated record.